This 422-nucleotide ribosomal RNA is filed under the name uncultured bacterium. Its description in RNAcentral is "bacterial SSU rRNA". It matches the Rfam family "Bacterial small subunit ribosomal RNA", at positions 917 to 1341 of the family's 1533-position model. The record is from RNAcentral.
GGGCCCGCACAAGCGGUGGAGCAUGUGGUUUAAUUCGAUGAUACGCGAGGAACCUUACCAGGGCUUAAAUGUAGUGGGACAGGUCUAGAGAUAGACCCUUCUUCGGACUCAUUACAAGGUGCUGCAUGGUUGUCGUCAGCUCGUGCCGUGAGGUGUCAGGUUAAGUCCUAUAACGAGCGCAACCCCUAUCGUUAGUUGCCAGCGAGUAAUGUCGGGAACUCUAACGAAACUGCCAGUGCAAACUGUGAGGAAGGUGGGGACGACGUCAAGUCAUCAUGGCCUUUAUGCCCAGGGCUGCACACGUGCUACAAUGGGACGUACAAAGGGAAGCGAACCCGCGAGGGCAAGCAAAUCUCAAAAAGCGUCUCUCAGUUCGGAUUGCAGGCUGCAACUCGCCUGCAUGAAGCUGGAAUCGCUAGUAA